RNAcentral lists this ribosomal RNA (217 nucleotides) under uncultured bacterium. RNAcentral's name for it is "partial 16S ribosomal RNA". It matches the Rfam family "Bacterial small subunit ribosomal RNA", at positions 123 to 334 of the family's 1533-position model. The record is from RNAcentral.
GAUAUGCCUAUUAGUGGGGGACAACAUCGUGAAAACGGUGCUAAUACCGCAUAAGCUUGGUGAAAUUGAAAAAACCAAGGAAAGGGGGCUUCGGCUCUCGCUGAUAGAUUGGCCUGCGUAGCAUUAGCUUGUUGGUGGGGUAAUGGCCUACCAAGGCGACGAUGCUUAGCUGGUCUGAGAGGAUGAUCAGUCACACUGGAACUGAGACACGGUCCAG